ACGGCGCAGCGCGGCCGACGGCGGAGCAGCCCCCGAGGGUCCCCACGCCGAGGGGGAGACGGACCCCGUGGCCCCCCCAGAGCCCCCUGACGCCAAGUACCAGCAGCUCCUGUGCUUCCACACCUACGCCGAGCCCCGCGAGGUCCGAGCCCCCAGUGCCCCCCCUUCCCGCCAACUGGGAGACCCCAUCCCCUUCUACGCCAUGGGCCGGGGCUCCACCUCCGGCCCCGAGGAGAACAUCUACUCCGAGGUGGCCUCGGCCGGGCAGGAUCUGCCCCUUUCCUUCCCCAGGGGGUCCCCGGGGGCCUUUUCCACGCUGCCCCCCAAAUCCCACCCCCACCGGCGGCUCUUCCGCAGCGUCUCCAGCCAGGCCUUCAAGGGGAGGCACCUCCCAGCAGCUCCCACCACCUUGGGGAAGGAGAGAGGAGCCUCCAGCGCGGCCGAGGAGGGUGGGGGGGUCAACCCCUCACGGGAGUUUGAUGACCCCGUUUAUGGCCGGAGGAUGAGCAACACAGGGAGGAACGGGAGAGGGAGAGGGCAGGAAGGUCCCGAAAACAUCUACGAGCAGCUUUUGGGAGACCAGCCCUGAGGUGGGAAGGUCUUGGCCAAGACCCAAGCUCCCAGGAGGAACCUCCAUCAUCACCCGGAGAGGUCCAAGGCCACUAUCAGCCCCCCUCUGCAAACCACCAGUGGUACCAGCUCCAUACUGGGAUAUACUGGGAUUCCCACGCCCGGCCAGAGUUAAGAGGGGAAAGGCAUUUUAAUUUCUCUCCCAACACAUUUGGAAGGAGAUUUCUAUUAAUAGAACCAGGGCGGAAAAAGGCCAUUAGAGUAAAACCAGCUGGUUUUUUGGGGCACGGCCAGUGCAUCCAGCCAUUAAAUAGCCACAAACUGGGGUGAGGCCGCAGCCACACUGAGGAUCACGAGCCCCAGGGCAACAUCUCCCAGCCCUACCCCUUUCCUCGGCCAAAAAACACGAGAUCGGCACCAAAAACAAGGAUAAAAUUCAACCAUUGGGUCGGUGACAGUGAUCUCAGUGACACCUCCAAGUCCUGUCUGUUUUCUCAGCCAAAAACCA
This 1078-nucleotide long non-coding RNA is filed under the name Calidris pugnax (ruff). Its description in RNAcentral is "lncRNA (ENSCPUG00000018078.1)". Lineage: Eukaryota; Metazoa; Chordata; Aves; Charadriiformes; Scolopacidae. The record is from RNAcentral.